UGGUUAGUUGCUAUCAGAUGCCUGGUUGUGUCUUUAACUUUGACUUGGUUCCAUGACCUUGAGUCAUUGCUUCAUGGUUAGUGGAUGAUGGGUUGGACACCAACAUUUAAAUUCUUAUUUUGGGAUUAAAACCAAUCUUCAAAACUCCUUAGAACAUCUAGGGUCAAGGAGGUUGGAGUAUAAGAAACACAGAAGAGAAAACAGGCUGUUUUGACUCUUUUAGAGGG
Molecule: long non-coding RNA, 227 nt
Filed under: Elaeis guineensis (African oil palm)
Lineage: Eukaryota; Viridiplantae; Streptophyta; Magnoliopsida; Arecales; Arecaceae
Description: long non-coding RNA (EGUI_LNC048922)
Source: RNAcentral